This 497-nucleotide ribosomal RNA is filed under the name uncultured bacterium. RNAcentral describes it as "partial 16S ribosomal RNA". It matches the Rfam family "Bacterial small subunit ribosomal RNA", at positions 28 to 507 of the family's 1533-position model. The record is from RNAcentral.
GAUGAACGCUGGCGGCGUGCCUAAUACAUGCAAGUCGAGCGAACAGACGAGGAGCUUGCUCCUCUGACGUUAGCGGCGGACGGGUGAGUAACACGUGGAUAACCUACCUAUAAGACUGGGAUAACUUCGGGCAACCGGAGCUAAUACCGGAUAAUAUAUUGAACCGCAUGGUUCAAUAGUGAAAGACGGUUUUGCUUUCACUUAUAUAUGGAUCCGCGCCGCAUUAGCUAGUUGGUAAGGUAACGGCUUACCAAGGCAACGAUGCGUAGCCGCCCUGAGAGAGUGAUCGGCCACACUGGAACUGAGACACGGCCCAGACUCCUACAGGAAGCAGCAGUAGGGAAUCUUCCGCAAUGGGCGAAAGCCUGACGGAGCACCGCCGCGUGAGUGAUGAAGGUCUUCGGAUCGUAAAACUCUGUUAUUAGGGAAGAACAAAUGUGUAAGUAACUAUGCACGUCUUGACGGUACCUAAUCAGAAAGCCACGGCUAACUACGUG